This 137-nucleotide unclassified non-coding RNA is filed under the name uncultured Ascomycota. Its description in RNAcentral is "sequence contains ITS2". The record is from RNAcentral. Lineage: Eukaryota; Fungi; Ascomycota.
UCAACCAUCAAGCUUGGCUUGUUAUUGGAUCUUUGUCAAUAAGGCAGGUCUCAAAGAUAAUACAGAGUUUUGAAGCCUUGAUGCAAGGAGCUUUAAGCACGCAUUAUAGGAGUCAAUGACUCUAGUGUUUAACUAAA